Molecule: ribosomal RNA, 503 nt
Filed under: uncultured bacterium
Lineage: Bacteria
Description: bacterial SSU rRNA
Rfam family: Bacterial small subunit ribosomal RNA
Source: RNAcentral
AGAGUUUGAUCAUGGCUCAGAACGAACACUGGCGGCGUGGAUUAGGCAUGCAAGUCGAACGAGAACGUUUCCUUCGGGAAAUUAGUACAGUGGCGAACGGGUGAGUAACGCGUGGGAAACCUGCCCUUUAGCGGGGGAUAACAGUUCUAACGAACUGCUAAUACCGCAUACGACCUUUAGAUCGCAUGGUCUGAAGAUGAAAGGUGGCCUCUCUUUGAAGCUGCCACUGAAGGAUGGUCCCGCGUCCCAUUAGUUUGUUGGUGGGGUAAUGGCCUACCAAGGCGACGAUGGGUAGCCGGCCUGAGAGGAUGUCCGGCCACACUGGGACUGAGAUACGGCCCAGACUCCUACGGGAGGCAGCAGUCGAGAAGCUUCCGCAAUGGGCGAAAGCCUGACGGAGCGACGCCGCGUGAGUGAAGAAGGCCCUAUGGGUUGUAAAGCUCUGUCAGAUUGGGAAGAAAAUUCCGUAAUUAAUGCCUACGGAACCUGACGGUACCAUCAGA